Molecule: ribosomal RNA, 440 nt
Filed under: uncultured bacterium
Lineage: Bacteria
Description: bacterial SSU rRNA
Rfam family: Bacterial small subunit ribosomal RNA
Source: RNAcentral
CCUACGGGUGGCACCAGUGGGGAAUAUUGGACAAUGGGCGCAAGCCUGAUCCAGCCAUGCCGCGUGAGUGAUGAAGGCCCUAGGGUUGUAAAGCUCUUUCACCGGUGAAGAUAAUGACGGUAACCGGAGAAGAAGCCCCGGCUAACUUCGUGCCAGCAGCCGCGGUAAUACGAAGGGGGCUAGCGUUGUUCGGAAUUACUGGGCGUAAAGCGCACGUAGGCGGGUAUUUAAGUCAGGGGUGAAAUCCCAGAGCUCAACUCUGGAACUGCCUUUGAUACUGGGUACCUAGAGUAUGGAAGAGGUAAGUGGAAUUCCGAGUGUAGAGGUGAAAUUCGUAGAUAUUCGGAGGAACACCAGUGGCGAAGGCGGCUUACUGGUCCAUUACUGGCGCUGAGGUGCGAAAGAGUGGGGAGCAAACAGGAUUAGAUACCCUCGUAGUC